CUUUUGCUACGAACAUACCCAUAAAAGCCUUUUUUGUUGCUUUUAACCUCUCUAGCAAGCCUGAGUUCAUUCUGUGCUUUAGCUUUUCUGACUUUGUGUCUACACGUGCUGGCUAUUUGUUUGAAUUCCUCUUUGGUGGUUUCCCCCCUUUUCCAUUUUUUGUACACAUCCUUUUUUAAUCUUAACUCAGUUAAAAGUUCUUUAGAUAGCCACCCUGGCUUCUUUAGGUACCUUCCAUGUUUCCAUCUCAUUGGUAUUGCCUGACGUUGUGCUUUUACUAUCUCCCUCUUAACAAAUUCCCAGCCAUCAUGAACUCCCUUUCCUUUUAGUAUUAUUGUCCAUGGGAUCUCACCCAGCACUUCCCUAAGUUUUAUGAAGUCGGCUUUCUUAAAGUCAAGAAAUUGAGUCCUAGUAUGCUUGGCUGCUCCUUUCCGCUGUAUAGUAAACUUCAGAAGAGCAUGAUCACUCGCGCCUAAUGAUCCUUCCACUUCUACCCCACUAACCAGGUCCUCAACAUUGGUUAGGACCAGAUCUAAAAUGGCUGUUCCUCUUGUUGCUUCUCCCACUUUCUGGACAAUGAAGUUGUCUGCAAGGCCAGUGAGGAAUCUGUUUGACCUUAUGCUCUUGGGUGAGUUUGACAUCCAACAAAUAUCCGGGUAAUUGAAGUCCCCCAUUACUACUAUCUCCCUUCCUUUUGCGUGCUUGGCCAUCUGUUCCAGGAAGGCAUCAUCUAUGUCCUCCGUUUGGCUUGGGGAUCUAUAGUAAACUCCCACAAUGAGGUCACUGUUAUUCUUCUCUCCCUUAAUUUUGACCCAAAUGGUCUCACUUUGGCUUUGAGGUUCUAAAUCUUGGAUAUCUUCACAGGUAUACACAUCCCUGACAUAUAACGCCACUCCUCCUCCUUUCUUGUCUGGUCUGUUUCUCUGAAAUAGAUUGUAUCCCUCCAUUAUUACAUUCCAAUCGUGGGACUUAUCCCACCAGGUUUCAGUGAUGCCUAUUAUGUCAUAUUUAGUUUGCUGUACCAGGAGCUCAAGCUCAUCUUGUUUAUUUCCCAUGCUUUGCGCAUUAGUGUACAGACAUUGAAGUUCAUUAAUUAUUCCCCCGUGUCUCUUAUUUAAGGAUUUUUUCCCUCCCACCACUAGGUCUGCGUGCUGUUUGCUCCAUUUGGUCUAUGACAUUUGGAUGAUCAUCUUCAUCAAUUGAUAGACUCCUACCUUCAGGAGCACUGUCUCCCUCCCCCACAUUAGUCAGUUUAAAGCCCUACUGAUGAGGUUUCUGAGAUUUUUGGCAAAAACAUUCCUCCCAACCGUUGUGAGGUGCAGCCCAUCGCUUUCCAGAAGUCCAUCUUCAAGAAACUGCAUUCCAUGAUCUAAGAAUCCAAACCGUUCCUGUUUACACCAUUUGCGAAGCCAGCUGUUCACUUCCACUAUUUUUCCCUCUCUCCCUGGGCCAUGUCGUUCAACUGGGAGGACAGAUGAGAUGACAAUUUGUGCAUUUAAUUGCUUCAAUUUCCUGCCCAGAGCCUCGUAGUCUCUUUUGAUCUUCUGGAGGCUAUUGCUUGCAGUGUCAUUGGUUCCCACAUGAACCAAGAGGAAGGGGUAUUUGUCAGUGGGCUUUAUGAUUCCUUGCAGUCAUUCAGUUACAUCUUGGAUCUUAGCCCCGGGGAGACAGCACACUUCCCGAGACAUCUUGUCAGGCCCACAGAUCACUGCUUCUGUUCCCCUCAGUAGGGAAUCCCCUAUCACCACUACACGCCUCCUCUUAGGUUUGGUCGGGGUUCUUCUGUGAGCUGUCCGUUCCAAGGUCGCCUGCACAUUCCCUGAGGACUGACUUUGCUGCUCGCCCACCACCUGCCUCCUUGAUCCGUGCCCGUCUUGGCUGAUUAGGGAGUGUCCAGAUGUUGUGCAGACCCCCCUGGUUGAAAUUAUCAAUUUGUCCCUUGACAUGGGGACAUUCCCAGGGGAACUGAAGGAAGCAGUGGUGUGUCCACUCUUAAAGAAAACUUCAUUAGAUCCCUUAGACCUAUCCAAUUACCACCCAGUUUCAAAUCUUCCAUACCUGGGUAAGGUCCUAUGGCUAGGUCGGGAUGGCAUGGGGAUGAGGGACCAACUCCCUUCUCUUGCGGGGGCCCAAUUAGUGCCAUUGCCUUCCGUUAAGAGUUUGGGUGUAAUCCUUGAUGCCUCCCUUUCCAUGGAGGCGCAAGUUACAGCAGCAGCCAAGGUGACAUUUUUCCACCUUCGCCGCAUCAAGCAGUUGGUCCCUUACCUUUCCUGCCCCGACCUGGCCACAGUGAUCCAUGCGACGGUCAUCUCCAGGCUUGACUACUGUAAUUCGCUCUACGUGGGGCUGCCCUUGAAGCUGUCCCAGAAACUCCAGCAGGUACAGAAUGCUGCAGCGAGGCUCCUCACGGGGUGUCUGCCAUGGGAGCAUAUUCACCCAGUGCUUUUCAAGCUGCACUGGCUCCCGGUGGAGUACAGGGUCAGAUUUAAGGUGCUGCUUUUGACCUUUAAAGCCCUUCAUGGCCUAGGACCCUCGUACCUAUGGGACCGCCUCUCCUGGUAUGCCCCACGGAGAGCCUCAAGGUCCAUAAAUAACAAUACCCUAGUGGUCCCAGGCCCUAAGGAAGUUAGAUUGGCUUCAACCAGAGCCAGGGCCUUUUCAACACUGGCUCCGGCCUGGUGGAACGCUCUGCCUCAUGAGACCAGGGCCCUGCAGGAUCUGAUUUCUUUCUGCAGGGCCUGUAAGACAGAGUUGUUUCGCCUGGCCUUUGGCUUGGAGCCAAUUUGAUUCCCUCCCUCCCUCUCUUUUUUCUUUUCCUUCUCCUCCUGUGAUGAGGCUACAUUUUAAUAUUUUAAUGUUCCAUUAUUUUAAUGUUGUAUUUUAUUUUUGUUUUUAAGUUGUAAUCAUUCAUCUUGUUUUUAUUAUUGCUUGUAAGCCGCUCUGAGCCCGGCCUUGGCUGGGGAGGGCGGGGUAUAAAUAAAAAAUUAUUAUUAUUAUU
Podarcis raffonei (Aeolian wall lizard) is the source of this 2998-nucleotide long non-coding RNA. RefSeq lists it as uncharacterized. Lineage: Eukaryota; Metazoa; Chordata; Lepidosauria; Squamata; Lacertidae. The transcript is spliced from 3 exons. The record is from RefSeq and is a predicted model, not a curated record.